Molecule: ribosomal RNA, 468 nt
Filed under: uncultured bacterium
Lineage: Bacteria
Description: partial 16S ribosomal RNA
Rfam family: Bacterial small subunit ribosomal RNA
Source: RNAcentral
GACGAACGCUGGCGGCGUGCUUAAUACAUGCAAGUCGAACGGAAAGGCCCGGCUUUUGUGGGUUGCUCGAUUGGCGAAGGGGGGAGUAACACGUGAGGAACCUGCCCUUGACUUUGUGAUAACUUCAGGGAACUGGGGCGAAUACCGGGGAUGAGCUCCUGCUGCGUGUGGGUGGUUGGAAAGAUUCGGCGGUUGGGGAUGGACUCGCGGCUUAUCAGCUGGUUGGUGAGGUAGUUGCUUACCAAGGCUUUGACGGGUAGCCGGCAUGAGAGGGUGACCGGCCACAUUGGGACUGCGAUACGGCCCAGAAUCCUACGGGCGGCAGCAGUGGAGAAUAUUGCACAAUGGGCGGAAGUCAGAUGCAGCAACGCCGCGUGCGGGAUGCCGGGUUUCGGGUUGUAAACCGAUUUGGAAUGUGCCGAAGAGUGCGUGACGGUAAUGGGUCAAAAAGCCACGGCUAACUACGUG